Molecule: ribosomal RNA, 253 nt
Filed under: uncultured bacterium
Lineage: Bacteria
Description: partial 16S ribosomal RNA
Rfam family: Archaeal small subunit ribosomal RNA
Source: RNAcentral
UACCAGCACCCCGAGUGGUCGGGACGUUUAUUGGGCCUAAAGCAUCCGUAGCCGGUUCUACAAGUCUUCCGUUAAAUCCACCUGCUUAACAGAUGGGCUACGGAAGAUACUAUAGAGCUAGGAGGCGGGAGAGGCAAGCGGUACUCGAUGGGUAGGGGUAAAAUCCGUUGAUCCAUUGAAGACCACCAGUGGCGAAGGCGGCUUGCCAGAACGCGCUCGACGGUGAGGGAUGAAAGCUGGGGGAGCAAACCGG